This is a long non-coding RNA of Chrysolophus pictus (golden pheasant), 2256 nucleotides long. Lineage: Eukaryota; Metazoa; Chordata; Aves; Galliformes; Phasianidae. The record is from Ensembl.
AUGCACCCACGUCUGCUCCUCUUUGCACAGGGCCUAAAGGAGGUGGGGACCCGGUGCGGUGUCCCUGAGCAGCAGUUGGACGUCCCUGAGCUGAGCAUGCCUGAGCCGACGUCGCAGGGCACGGAAAAGAAGCGUGCAGAGAAGGUGGGAGCAAAGGGCAGCGCCGCGGUGCCUGCAGUCCCCAAGAGCCUCCCCGUGAAAGCAAAGGUGGAGCCCCACAGCCUGGACCCUGCGGAGGAGCCGCUCAUCUGGGAAGGGCUCACCCUCAACAAGUGCAUCCUGGUGGCCUCCAUUGUCGCCCUGCUCAGCGUCAGCUUCCAGGUGCUCCAAGCUCCACCAUGCCCCAGGGACGGUGUCAGCAGUGGCAAGCAAGAGCCCCCAGCAGCUCCCAUCCACGAGGUCAUCAUCCCCAAGGAGGAGGUCCCAGAGGUAGUGGCUCCACAACCCAUCCCGCCUGAGAGCAGCAUGCCAGAGGAUGACGAUGGUGAUGAUGAUGGUGAUGACGAUGAUGACGACGAAGCGGACAGCAACCUGGCCGAGCCCUGGAUCUUCAAGAAGUGGUUUGGCCGCUCGGAGCCGGGACAUAAGGAGGAAGAGCCUGGAGAAGAGGAGGAAGAGCCCACAGAGAAACCUGAGGAGCCAAUAGCCAAAGUGGAGCUGAGGAAGGGCCAGGAGAAACCACGGAGCCCAGAGAAGAAAGAGGAGAAGGCCCGAGGUCUGGAGAAGGAGGAGAAAACUCGAGGCCCAGAGAAGAAGGAGGAGAGAAAGGAGGAGAAGGAGGAAGAGAAGAAGGAGGAGAAGGAAGAGAAGAAAGAGAAGAAGGAGGAGAAGGAAGAGAAGAAAGAGAAGAAGGAGGAGAAGAAGGAAGAGAAGAAAGAAGAGAAGAAGGAAAAAGAGGAGGAGAAGGAGGAGGAAGAGGAGGAGGAGGAAGAGGAGAAGGAGGAGGAGAAGGAGGAGAGACCGCGUGGCCCAAAGAAGGAGGAGAGGCCCAAGGAGGGCCGUGCAGCCCCAGCAGAGAGGAGCAGCCGUCGGGAGCCGCGUCCCAAGGACAGGAGCCCCGAGGAGAAGCCCCCCAGAGCCCCCCGGGCACACAGGGAGCCUGAGCAGCAGCAGCACAAGAAGAGACGCCGUGAGGGGAAGGAGAGCCGGAGGGAGAAGGAUGAGCAGCGCAGGGAUGGCAGCAAGGGCAGAGCGGGCAGAGCCGAGCGGCAGGAGAGCGGCCGGAGGAACUGGGGGCUGCCACGGGGCGAGCAGCGGGGCAGGAGGGCCGGGGAGCCAAAGGGGAGGGACAGGGCACGAGAGGGCCGGCGGCGUGACUGAAGGCUGCGAGGGACCGACUGGGCCCAGCCCCACAGAGACACAGCCACCAUCUGUCUGCUGGACCCCUCUGCUGCCACCACGCCUUCAGCCUUUGUCCCCAUGCCCAGAGUGGCUGCAAGCAAAGUGGGGACACUGGGGUCCUGCUGUACCUAUGGGACAUUGGGACCUGCUGUGCCAAUGGAGACAUUGGGGUCCUGCUCUGCUGAUGGGGACACUGAGAUCUGCUGUGCCCAUGGGAACAUAGGGGCACUGCUGUGCUGAUGGGGACACUGGGGUCCUGCUGUGCUGAUGGGGACAUUGGGACCUGCUGUGCCCACUGAGACAUUGGGGUCCUGCUCUGAUGGUGGGGUUCAUCUGUGCCCAUGAGUGACUGAGUCCUGCUGUUUCCAUGGUGACACUGAGUUCUGCUUUGCCAACGGGGACAACGAGUCCUGCCAUGCCUGUGGGGACAUCAGCCACCCAGCCCAGCAUCUGUGGGGACUCUAGGACUUCCCAGGAUGAAGGCAGCCCACAGGGAGUGUGGAAAUGAGCUCUGCUCCCCCUGGGCUUCGUGCCAUUGGGCUCCAUCCCCAGCUGCUGCAGCAGCUCGUUGUCUCCCAUGCUGACACCUAAGGAGCAAGGAUGCAUUCCUGGCAAACAGAGGGGUCUGCAGCCCUGGUAGCUCUUGAAUUCAGUGAAUGGUUUUAUUGAAAAACAAAUCAAAGAGAGAAGUGUGUUUUGGGUGAAGGAAGCCAAGCUGCCCUCGGAGCGUGGACACAUGGCCCCAGUGUAGGAGGCCCAAAGCUUCGGAACCAAAGCUCAGGUCCUGCCCCGCAGAGCUGCUUUUAGGGAGAAAGCACACGAGCAUUACCACACAGUGCUGCAGCAACUGCAGGAGACCCCGACUGCAGCGAGUUUGAGUAUUCGCUAAACCAAUAGUGGUUAAAACAAACUGAU